Molecule: ribosomal RNA, 777 nt
Filed under: Agrococcus sp. NH53R1
Lineage: Bacteria; Bacillati; Actinomycetota; Actinomycetes; Micrococcales; Microbacteriaceae
Description: bacterial SSU rRNA
Rfam family: Bacterial small subunit ribosomal RNA
Source: RNAcentral
AGCAACGCCGCGUGAGGGACGACGGCCUUCGGGUUGUAAACCUCUUUUAGCAGGGAAGAAGCGAGAGUGACGGUACCUGCAGAAAAAGCACCGGCUAACUACGUGCCAGCAGCCGCGGUAAUACGUAGGGUGCGAGCGUUAUCCGGAAUUAUUGGGCGUAAAGAGCUCGUAGGCGGUCUGUCGCGUCUGCUGUGAAAUCCCGAGGCUCAACCUCGGGCUUGCAGUGGGUACGGGCAGACUAGAGUGCGGUAGGGGAGAUUGGAAUUCCUGGUGUAGCGGUGGAAUGCGCAGAUAUCAGGAGGAACACCGAUGGCGAAGGCAGAUCUCUGGGCCGUUACUGACGCUGAGGAGCGAAAGCGUGGGGAGCAAACAGGCUUAGAUACCCUGGUAGUCCACGCCGUAAACGUUGGGAACUAGAUGUGGGGACCAUUCCACGGUCUCCGUGUCGUAGCUAACGCAUUAAGUUCCCCGCCUGGGGAGUACGGCCGCAAGGCUAAAACUCAAAGGAAUUGACGGGGGCCCGCACAAGCGGCGGAGCAUGCGGAUUAAUUCGAUGCAACGCGAAGAACCUUACCAAGGCUUGACAUGUACGAGAACGCGCUGGAGACAGUGAACUCUUUGGACACUCGUAUACAGGUGGUGCAUGGUUGUCGUCAGCUCGUGUCGUGAGAUGUUGGGUUAAGUCCCGCAACGAGCGCAACCCUCGUCCUAUGUUGCCAGCACGUCAUGGUGGGAACUCAUGGGAUACUGCCGGGGUCAACUCGGAGGAAGGUGGGG